This 406-nucleotide ribosomal RNA is filed under the name uncultured bacterium. RNAcentral describes it as "partial 16S ribosomal RNA". It matches the Rfam family "Bacterial small subunit ribosomal RNA", at positions 30 to 526 of the family's 1533-position model. The record is from RNAcentral.
AUUGAAUGCUGGCGGCAGGCCUAACACAUGCAAGUCGAACGAGUGGCGGACGGGUGAGUAAUGUCUGGGAAACUGCCCGAUGGAGGGGGAUAACUACUGGAAAAGGUGGCUAAUACCGCAUACCCUCGGAUGUGCCCAGAUGGGAUAAGCUUGUAGGUGAGGUAACGGCUCACCUGGGCGAAGAUCCCUAGCUGGUCUGAGAGGAUGACCAGCCAAACUGUGACUCAGCCACGGUCCAGACUCCUACGGGAGGCAGCAGUGGGGAAUAUUGAACAAUGGGCGCAAGCCUGAUGCAGCCAUGCCGCGUGUGUGAAGAAGGUCUUCGGAUUGUAAAGCACUUUAAGUCGGGAGGCGUUACCAACAGAAUAAGCACCGGCUAACUUCGUGCCAGCCGCCGCGGUAAUUC